RNAcentral lists this non-coding RNA (31 nucleotides) under Mus musculus (house mouse). Lineage: Eukaryota; Metazoa; Chordata; Mammalia; Rodentia; Muridae. The record is from RNAcentral.
UAGAUAGACAGACAACUUGAUACUGUUUAUA